AACAAGGUCUCCGUUGGUGAACCAGCGGAGGGAUCAUUAUCGAGUUAUUCAACUCCCAAACCCUGUGUGAACUUACCACUUGUUGCUUCGGCGCGCGCUUCGGCGCCGCCGAGGACACUUAAACUCUUUGUUUUUAUAAGCAUUUCUGAGUGGCCGAAAGGCAAAAAUACAAAUGAAUCAAAACUUUCAACAACGGAUCUCUUGGUUCUGGCAUCGAUGAAGAACGCAGCGAAAUGCGAUAAGUAAUGUGAAUUGCAGAAUUCAGUGAAUCAUCGAAUCUUUGAACGCACAUUGCGCCCGCCAGCAUUCUGGCGGGCAUGCCUGUUCGAGCGUCAUUUCAACCCUCGAGCCCGACUCUUUUGAGGACGGCUCGGCGUUGGGGGACGGCAGACUCCCCCCGGCAUCUCGCCGGGGACGCCGCCCCCGAAAUCUAGUGGCGGCCCUCCGAGGCGACCUCUGCGUAGUAACUUGUUCUCGCACCGGAAAGCUCAGAGCGGCCACGCCGUAAAACCCCAACUUUUUUCGGGUUGACCUCGAAUCAGGUAGGACUACCCGCUGAACUUAAGCAUAUCAACAAGGUCUCCG
RNAcentral lists this ribosomal RNA (585 nucleotides) under uncultured fungus. Its description in RNAcentral is "eukaryotic LSU rRNA". The stretch from base 182 to 335 matches the Rfam family "5.8S ribosomal RNA". The record is from RNAcentral. Lineage: Eukaryota; Fungi.